AAAUGCUAACUCUCAAAUUCACAGAGCUGCAAGGGAACAUGGAAAACCAAAACAAUCAAGAAGAAAAAGGUCGGAACACAUACUUUCUGAUUUCAAAACUUACUACAACGCUACAGUAAUCAAAAUAGUAUGCUACUGAAAAAAGGAUAGACAUAUAUAUAGAUCAACAGCAUAAAACUGAGAGUACCAGAAUAAUCUGAUACAUCUACGGCUAACUGAUUUUUUAUAAUGGUGCCGAGUCCAUUUACUGGAGAAGUAAGGGUCUGCUCAACACAUGGUGCUGGGACAACUGGAUUUCCACAUGCAAAAGAAUGAUGCUGGACUCCAAACUCAUACCAAAUACAAAAAUUAACUGAAAAUGUAUCAAUGACCUAAAUUUAAGAACUAAAACCAUAAACCUCUUAGAAAAAAACACAAGGGCAAAUCCUCAUGACCUUGGAUUUAGCAAUCAAUUCUUAAGAUCAGACACAAAAAGCAUAAGACAAUGAAAGAAAAAAAGAGAUAAAUCUGACUUCAUCAAAAUUAAAAACUUUUGUUCAUCAGAGGACAUUAUCAAGAAACUAAAAAGAUAAACUUUAAGCAAACCAACUAGGAUGGGAUUAAAAAAAAAAAAAAGAAAAUAGUAAGCAUGGGCAAGGAGGUAGAGAAACUGACCUUUGUACCUUGCUGGUAGGAAUGUAAAAUAUUGCAGCUUCUGUGAAAAACAAUAUGGCAGUUCCUCAAGAAGCUAACCACAGCUAAUUACCAAAUAAUCCAGCUAUUUCAUUUCAAGGAACAUACCCAAAAGAACUGCAAAUAGGGUAAUUGUAUGCCAAUAUUCACUUCAGUAUCCAGUUUAGCCAAAAGGUGCAAGUGUCCACCUGAAUAAAUACAAAAUUACUGAGUGUUAAAAGGGAAUGAAAUUCUAGUACAUACUGCAACACAGAUGAACCCUGAAAAUAUUACGCUAAAUGAAAGGAGUCAGACACAAAAAUACAAAUAUUUUAUCAUUCCACUCAAACGAAAUAUCUAGAAUAGGUAAACUGAUGGAGACAGAAAGUAGAUUAGAAGUUACUAGGGACUGGGAGAGAACAGAUGGUAGUAAUGGUUGCACAACAUUGCACAACAAAGGCACUCAAUUACAAAUUUAAAGUGGUCAAAAUGGCAAAUUUAAUGUUAUGCAAAUAUAUUUUACCACAAUAAAAAAAGUCAAAGAAAAAAUUAUAUGUUCCAUAGAAAUCAGCCCUACCAAGGCUCUUAAACAAAACACCUGUGAAUUAUCACUAAGUGCAUUCCAUUACAAAUUACUGAGCCAUACAUAGAAAAUAAUUGUUCCAGGAAUUUAAAAAGAAUAACUGGCCAGGCACGGUGGCUCACGCCUGUAAUCCCAGCACUUUGGGAGGCAGAGGCAGGUGGAUCAUGAGGUCAGGAGAUCUAGACCAUCCUGGCCAUGGUGAAAUCCCAUCUCUACUAAAAUACAAAAAAAAAAAUUAGUCAGGCAUGGUGGCACACGCCUGUAGUCCCCAGCUACUCAAGAGGGAGAAUCGCUUGAAUCUGGGAGACAGAGGUUGCAGUGAGCCGAGAUUGUGCCACUGUACCCCAGCCUGGCGAAAGAGCAAGACUUCGUCUCAAAAAAAAAAAACAACAACUGAGGACCAACCUUCAGCAGGGCUAUGGCUACCAUCUUCUCUCUCGCAGGCAUCUCAGGGCUGCCAGCCUGGACCUUGCAGCCAGUGGAUUCAAGUUUGAAAUAUGGCAACUUUGAAAGAUAUUACUGGGCAACUAAAGUCCAUCAAAAACAUCCAGAAAAUUACCAAGUCUAUGAAAACGGUAGCAGCAGCAAAAUAUGCCCGAGCUGAGAGAGAGAGAGCUGAAACCAGCUCGAAUAUAUGGAUUAGGAUCUUUGGCUCUGUAUGAAAAAGCUGAUAUCGAGAUGCCUGAACACAAAAAGCAAUACCUCCUUAUUGGUGUGUCCUCAGAUCAAGGACUGUGUGAUGCUAUUCAUUCCUCCAUUGUUAAAUAGAUGAAAAGUGAGGUUGCUACACUAACAGCAGCUGGGAAAGAAGUUAUGCUUGUUGGAAUUGGUGACAAAAUCAGAGGCAUACUUUAUAGGACUCAUUCUGACCAGUUUCUAGUGGCAUUUAAAGAAGUGGGAAGAAAGUCUCCUACUAUUGGAGAUGGCAUCAGUCAUUGCCCUUGAAUUACUAAAUUCUGGAUAUGAAUUUGAUGAAGCCUCCAUCAUCUUAAUCGAUUCAGGUCUGUCAUCUCCUAUAAGCCAGAAGAAAAGCCCAUCUUUUCCCUUAAUACCAUUGUAAGUGCUGAGAGCAUGAGCAUCUACAAUGAUAUCGAUGCUGAUGUGCUGCAAAAUUACCAAGAAUACAAUCUGGCAAACAUCAUCUCCUACUCUCUGAAGGAGUCCACCAGUAGUGAGCAGAGUGCCAGGAUGACAGCCAUGGACAAUGCCAGCAAGAAGGUUUCGAGAUGACUGACAAAUUGACAUUGACAUUCAACCAUACCCACCAGGCUGUCAUCACAAAAGAGUUGCUUGAAACUAUCUCUGGUGCUAUAGCUCUGGAUUAACGAAAAUCGAGUUCCUUCCUCAGACAAGAGGUAAAGAAGGAAAAUUCAGCCAGCUGAUUUUGUUUUUAGCUUACUGCUGUCUUUGUCUGAAGAAUCUGUUCCUCCAUUGUUUGAAUUACUGAAGACAGCAGGAUAUUUGUAAAUUAUCUUGCAAUAAACAACUUAAAAUAAGAAAAAAAUAAAAAUAAUUGAAAUUUAAGUUAGCUUACUACAAAAAGUUUGUAUCAAUUAAAAACACCUUGUGUUUUGUCAA
This is a non-coding RNA of Callithrix jacchus (white-tufted-ear marmoset), 2812 nucleotides long. The record is from RefSeq and is a predicted model, not a curated record. NCBI's taxonomy places the organism in Eukaryota, Metazoa, Chordata, Mammalia, Primates, Cebidae.